GACGGAGGGUGCAAACGUUGUUCGGAAUCACUGGGCAUAAAGCGCACGUAGGCGGUGCACUAAGUCAGGUGUGAAAGCCCCCGGCUCAACCGGGGAAUGGCAUCUGAUACUGGUGUGCUCGAGGACGGUUGGGGUGAGUGGAACUCCUGGUGGAGCGGUGAAAUGCGUAGAUAUCAGGAGGAACACCGGUGGCGAAAGCGGCUCACUGGGCCGUCUCUGACGCUGAGGUGCGAAAGCUAGGGUAGCGAACGGGAUUAGAUACCCCGGUAGUCCUAGCCGUAAACGAUGGGCACUAGGCAGGGGGAAUUCCUAUGGUUUUCUCUGCCGGAGCAAAUGUGUUAAGUGCCCCGCCUGGGGAGUACGCUCGCAAGGGUAAA
Molecule: ribosomal RNA, 377 nt
Filed under: uncultured bacterium
Lineage: Bacteria
Description: bacterial SSU rRNA
Rfam family: Bacterial small subunit ribosomal RNA
Source: RNAcentral